AUCAAUCCUUGUGCAUGUAUUAGGAUUUCUUCUCAAUUGAAAUCAACUAAUUUGAUCAAAACAUGUGUCUGCUUGAAAGACUUGGAUGUGCUGCGUCUUCUUGGUAUCAAUUGUUGGGAUCAGCAGAUUUAUUAACAAUUAAACGUCAUAUAACUAAUCCUGACAAUGUGAUGUAAUGAUAAUCAUGCAUAGUAGUGCAUACCAUUAUAAAGACAUUAAAAGGUUAUCCUUUUGCAUAUUGGUGUAGGAUGAUG
Molecule: unclassified non-coding RNA, 254 nt
Filed under: Hevea brasiliensis (rubber tree)
Lineage: Eukaryota; Viridiplantae; Streptophyta; Magnoliopsida; Malpighiales; Euphorbiaceae
Source: RNAcentral